AGUAAUACAUCGGAACGUGCCUAGUAGUGGGGGAUAACUACUCGAAAGAGUAGCUAAUACCGCAUGAGAUCUACGGAUGAAAGCAGGGGACCUUCGGGCCUUGUGCUACUAGAGCGGCUGAUGGCAGAUUAGGUAGUUGGUGGGGUAAAGGCUUACCAAGCCUGCGAUCUGUAGCUGGUCUGAGAGGACGACCAGCCACACUGGGACUGAGACACGGCCCAG
RNAcentral lists this ribosomal RNA (222 nucleotides) under uncultured Burkholderiales bacterium. RNAcentral describes it as "partial 16S ribosomal RNA". It matches the Rfam family "Bacterial small subunit ribosomal RNA", at positions 109 to 334 of the family's 1533-position model. The record is from RNAcentral. Lineage: Bacteria; Pseudomonadati; Pseudomonadota; Betaproteobacteria; Burkholderiales.